CAGAGUGACCUGAUCCGGGCGAGAUGGCAGAAGUGGAGGAGACACUGAAGCGACUGCAGAGCCAGAAAGGAGUGCAGGGAAUGAUCGUGGUGAACACGGAAGGCAUUCCCAUCAAGAGUACCAUGGACAAUCCCACCACCACACAGUACGCCAACCUCAUGCACAGCUUCAUCCUGAAGGCACGGAGUACCGUGCAUGAAAUUGACCCCCAGAAUGACCUCACCUUCCUUCGAAUUCGCUCGAGGAAGAAUGAAAUCAUGGUUGCACCAGAUAAAGGCUAUUUCCUGAUUGUGAUUCAGAAUCCAACUGAAUAGGCACUUGCCUGGCUACCUGUGUCAUUCCUUAAUUUAAUCCCCCCAAGAGUAAUAAUCAUGUCAGCACACUGGCAUGUGGAAAUUGCCUUAGAGCCCAGUCAGACCAAUCCAGUGACCACAGGUAGGCUGGCAGCUCUGCUUGCCCCACCAGAGGACUCCUGCUGCACCAAUCUUCC
Carlito syrichta (Philippine tarsier) is the source of this 490-nucleotide RNA transcript. It is a transcript of the gene named dynein light chain roadblock-type 1 pseudogene, with no coding region annotated. The record is from RefSeq and is a predicted model, not a curated record. The transcript has a single exon. Lineage: Eukaryota; Metazoa; Chordata; Mammalia; Primates; Tarsiidae.